RNAcentral lists this transfer RNA (71 nucleotides) under Thermobaculum terrenum ATCC BAA-798. It matches the Rfam family "tRNA". Rfam says of the family: Transfer RNA (tRNA) molecules are approximately 80 nucleotides in length. The record is from Rfam by way of RNAcentral. Lineage: Bacteria; Bacillati; Chloroflexota; Chloroflexia; Thermobaculales (SeqCode); Thermobaculaceae (SeqCode).
UCGGGGGUCGUCUAAUGGUAGGACAACAGACUUUGGAUCUGUGAGUCGGGGUUCGAGUCCCUGCCCCCGAG